CCUACGGGUGGCAGCAGUCGAGAAUCAUUCACAAUGGGGGAAACCCUGAUGGUGCGACGCCGCGUGGGGGAAUGAAGGUCUUCGGAUUGUAAACCCCUGUCAUGUGGGAGCAAAUUAAAAAGAUAGUACCACAAGAGGAAGAGACGGCUAACUCUGUGCCAGCAGCCGCGGUAAUACAGAGGUCUCAAGCGUUGUUCGGAAUCACUGGGCGUAAGGCGUGCGUAGGCUGUUUCGUAAGUCGUGUGUGAAAGUCGCGGGCUCAACCCGCGGACGGCACAUGAUACUGCGAGACUAGAGUAAUGGAGGGGGAACCGGAAUUCUCGGUGUAGCAGUGAAAUGCGUAGAUAUCGAGAGGAACACUCGUGGCGAAGGCGGGUUCCUGGACAUUAACUGACGCUGAGGCACGAAGGCCAGGGGAGCGAAAGGGAUUAGAUACCCCUGUAGUC
This 446-nucleotide ribosomal RNA is filed under the name uncultured bacterium. Its description in RNAcentral is "partial 16S ribosomal RNA". It matches the Rfam family "Bacterial small subunit ribosomal RNA", at positions 338 to 795 of the family's 1533-position model. The record is from RNAcentral.